AUUCCCUCCUCCACGCGGGGCAAAGUCAAACAUAGGCGCCUCCCACCACACAGAACUUUGGCCCCAGCCCUGAGACCGGUUCAGACAGAAGACGACAGAAGACGAUGAGGGAAGGUACGCAGCCCUAGGGGAAGACAGCUGGGUCCCGAGGCUGGGAGACAACAGCCUAGCCUGUUCCUGCCCAUGAGCUGCAUGAGCUGCCACCAACCAGUGAGAAUGGAUGUGAGUGGCAGCGGUGACUGGUCAGUAGACUUCCUGCACUCUGCUGGUUGACGUCAAAUCAGCAAAAAUGGACUGUUUCAGUCUUGCCUGGAGCGUCUGUGUGGUUCUGACAAUGCGAAUCCGCCUCCAUCUCCAACCCAGGUGCGGAGCUUUAUUAGAUAAGGGGUUUCUGGCACACAACUAUCUUAACCUUUAGUUCCAAGAAAAAAAAGAACCUGGAAUCCAAUUCCCUAUCCAGACCUGAGGAUGCCCUCUGCGCCUACAGCCCACCCCCUCCCCUGUAGGUACUGGGGGCCUAGCCUGGCGCCCCCACAAGGGAGCUGGAGACUCCCUUCUUAGUCCCCCACCCAGUCCCGUGCCUCCCCCAUAACUGUCCCCUCCUCCACGUUUCCCUUCUCAGACCUCCCGUCCUGGUCUCCUUCCCGCCAAUUACCUCCCCGCACCCGACACCGCCCACCAAAGCUCUGUACUCCUUAUCCACCGGGGUCCCCCGUGCUCCUCCGCGCCUCCCGGCAGCGGAACCCCGUGCCGAGGAGCGGCGCCAGGCCGGACGGGCUGCGCCGAGUGAUCCUCCCGGAAGUGCGCCUGCCCGCGGGGGCUCUCCAGCCCCACGGCGCGGGGCCGCCGCGGACCCACCUGCCCCAGUGCGGCUCCCGCCAUGGUCUGUGCGGCGGGGAACUGUGCCCGCCCCAGAUUAAGGCGUCCGGCCCCGCCCGGUCCACGCCCCCUCGCACUGAAGGCCCCAAGAUUCCAUUAUUACAGGGUGCCCUCGUGGAGAGGAGUCUGCUGCAGAGCGCAUGCGCUAGAACGCACCCCCGGACUAAGAGCGAAUGGGAAGACUCCCUCCUCCCAGCCCCUUCCGGGGUCUGUUCCAGUCCCGCUACUGCCGUUCAAGAGCUUGCACGCAGCGUUUUCAAAGAUGCAUUUUAAUAGGUUCUGCCACACAGCGGGAGUGAGGAGAAGCAGCCCCUAAUGAAAUCGCCCAAGUCGGCCGUUUCUGCUGCCCGUCACUAUCAGAACCAAUAAGGAGAGACAAGGAUUGAAUCUUCAUGGGCGCUUUAUUCAGAUGCUGGCGGUCUGAGAAGACGGCGGGUUGUGUACCCUAAAAUCCGUCUUAACAUCCCAUCUCAAACCAGCCUCUUUUUUUUUUUUUUAUUAGGAGGAGGGAGGGUAGGUGAGGGGUUUGGAGGGAAAGUUUAAUUGGAGAAGGGUUGCAGAGGGGCAAGGGGGCGGAGGGGCGAUCUUCCUAGUACUUCUUUAUCUGUGAAUCAACACUUCCUCUGUGUCCUGGACACGGCCUCCCUGGAACACCGUGGCAUGCAGGCCCCCUGGGGCACAAAGUUUGAAUUGCUUGUCAACCUCCUGGAGUCAGCAGGUCAUGUAUUGCAAUUCCUGGAAUAACAGCUUUCCUCAAGCAUCGGUCACUGGAGCCUGCCAGCUAACUAACGCUAAAAUCUUUAACUCUUGAGUUCCCGGAUCAGUAAGAGAAGAAAGGCCAGCACCUUUGCAGAUCUCCAUCCUUUCCUUGGUGAAAGGGAAAAGUACACUGUACGUGGCGGUGGGUGCGUAUCACGUAAAUGAAAAGGGUAAGGACUUUGGGAAAAGGCCUCUGAAGAGGGUGGCCGGCAGGGAUGAAGGGGUUGCAGGCAAAAACCCUGUUUGAAUACAGUUUUUCUGUCAUUUUUUAAGCCAUAAAAACACAUGGCUCACCA
Long non-coding RNA from Phyllostomus hastatus (greater spear-nosed bat), 1934 nucleotides. RefSeq lists it as uncharacterized. The record is from RefSeq and is a predicted model, not a curated record. NCBI's taxonomy places the organism in Eukaryota, Metazoa, Chordata, Mammalia, Chiroptera, Phyllostomidae. The transcript is spliced from 3 exons.